RNAcentral lists this ribosomal RNA (796 nucleotides) under uncultured marine thaumarchaeote. Its description in RNAcentral is "bacterial SSU rRNA". It matches the Rfam family "Archaeal small subunit ribosomal RNA", at positions 82 to 879 of the family's 1478-position model. The record is from RNAcentral. Lineage: Archaea; Thermoproteati; Nitrososphaerota.
ACGGCUGCUCAGUAACACGUAGUCAACCUAACCUAUGGACGGGAAUAACCUCGGGAAACUGAGAAUAAUGCCCGAUAGAACACUAUACCUGGAAUGGUUUGUGUUCCAAAUGAUUUAUCGCCGUAGGAUGGGACUGCGGCCUAUCAGUUUGUUGGUGAGGUAAUGGCCCACCAAGACUAUUACAGGUACGGGCUCUGAGAGGAGUAGCCCGGAGAUGGGUACUGAGACACGGACCCAGGCCCUAUGGGGCGCAGCAGGCGAGAAAACUUUGCAAUGUGCGAAAGCACGACAAGGUUAAUCCGAGUGGUUUCUGCUAAAGGAACCUUUUGUUAGUCCUAGAAACACUAACGAAUAAGGGGUGGGCAAGUUCUGGUGUCAGCCGCCGCGGUAAAACCAGCACCUCAAGUGGUCAGGAUGAUUAUUGGGCCUAAAGCAUCCGUAGCCGGCUCCGUAGGUUUUCGGUUAAAUCUGUACGCUCAACGUACAGGCUGCCGGGAAUACUGCAGAGCUAGGGAGUGGGAGAGGUAGACGGUACUCGGGAGGAAGUGGUAAAAUGCUUUGAUCUCUCGAUGACCACCUGUGGCGAAGGCGGUCUACCAGAACACGUCCGACGGUGAGGGAUGAAAGCUGGGGGAGCAAACCGGAUUAGAUACCCGGGUAGUCCCAGCUGUAAACUAUGCAAACUCAGUGAUGCAUUGGCUUGUGGCCAAUGCGGUAUUGCAGGGAAGCCGUUAAGUUUGCCGCCUGGGAAGUACGUACGCAAGUAUGAAACUUAAAGGAAUUGGCGGGGGAGCAG